GCAGCCAUGCCUUUAACCCAAAUUAAUAACCCCAACAAUCAGUUUGCUAGGGAUUCUUUUGCCAGCAACCGAACCACCAUGAUAUUUUGGUGAUCAACAGCAUGCAAACAGCACCCGAUCCGACCAUUGAAGGUGCUCGACCAUUCCUAAAGGAUUUGGUAAGUCAUUCGACCCCCUUUGCCCCCUUUUUUAGAAACCUUCAAAUUAUUUUUACUCUUUUGAAAACCAAGCAAAGAUUUGAAGUGAAAUUCUUGACCCUCGCCCGUAUCUACUCGUUUUCGAGAUGUUUUUGGGCUUUCAUUGGAAUCGAUUCACACAUUGAAAAGGAAAUCGAGUCAAAAAAGAAAAAAAGAAGAAAUAAAUCGGAAGAAAAAGAAAAAAGAAACAAGGAAACUUGAAAUCACCUUUUCUAUCUUUUGAUUUCUUUUCUCUCUUCUGUAUGCGUGUGUUCGUAAAAUAUGCGUAACCAAAUACAAUUGAUCCAUUCUUGGCUUUAUAGCCGAAACUAAAAAAGAAAAAAUCAAAAAUCAAAAUACAAUAUUCCAUUGCUUUUUGCUGCUGCUGUGUUUGUCUUGUUCGCAGGUACGGAGUAGAGGACAUACGCUGGCCCUUGGCGUGAGGCGUACGAAGGGUGGACGUGGCGCUGCUGAGGCGUAAGGAGGUAGCUGGCGUGAUGUGGUUAGGCCGUUCGUGAGGACUGCGGCGCAAGGAGCCCUUUGCCCUAGGGUUUGCCGAAAGUUGGCUUAGUUUUUGGGCCGUUUGGGCCUGUUCUAGUUAUUGGGCCAUUGUAUUUGGGCUAUGGGGUAUUGGGUUAGGUUAUGUAUUGGGCCAAAGUCUGUAAAUAGACAUUUAAUGGACUGUGGGUUUUUAUUAUAUUUUUUUAAUUUAAUUUUGGUUUUUGGUUGUUGGGCCCAGGCAGAUUUGGCCCAUUACAACGUUUUUAACCGUUAUUUAUCAUCUAAUAUGUUUUUUUGGUAAUAUUUAUAUUAGGUAUGUAGUUAUUUCUUUUUUGAAAUUUAUUUCGUAAAUUUAUAUUUCAAUUUGUAAUGAUUAUAUUUGCUGUGAUUUUAGUACUAGAAAUAUGAUUUAUAUAUUCAAAUUAAAAUUUAAAAAUAAUUUAUAUUAAUUGCUUAAAAAU
RNAcentral lists this long non-coding RNA (1138 nucleotides) under Gossypium barbadense (sea-island cotton). Its description in RNAcentral is "long non-coding RNA (GBAR_LNC003964)". The record is from RNAcentral. Lineage: Eukaryota; Viridiplantae; Streptophyta; Magnoliopsida; Malvales; Malvaceae.